RNAcentral lists this ribosomal RNA (673 nucleotides) under Scrippsiella aff. acuminata. RNAcentral describes it as "LSU rRNA". It matches the Rfam family "Eukaryotic large subunit ribosomal RNA", at positions 1 to 662 of the family's 3401-position model. The record is from RNAcentral. Lineage: Eukaryota; Dinophyceae; Peridiniales; Peridiniaceae.
AAGACAUGAAGUUAGGUCAGCAAACCCGCUGAAUUUAAGCAUAUAAGUAAGCGGAGGAAAAGAAACUAAAUAGGAUUCCCUCAGUAAUGGCGAAUGAACAGGGAUGAGCUCAGUAUGGAAAUUGGGGCCUGUGGCCUUGAAUUGUAGUCUGGAGAUGUACUACCAACUGGGGCGCAGAUGUAAGCCUCUUGGAAAAGAGCAUCAAUGAGGGUGAGAGUCCCGCUUGGCAUCUGCAGUCCCCAGUGCACGGUGUACCUUCUAAGAGUCACGUUCCUCGGGAUUGGAGCGCAAAUUGGGUGGUAAAUUUCAUCUAAAGCUAAAUAUUGUUUCGAGACCGAUAGCAAACAAGUACCAUGAGGGAAAGGUGAAAAGGACUUUGAAAAGAGAGUUAAAAGUGCCUGAAAUUGCUGAAAGGGAAGCGAAUGGAACCAGCGUAACUUGGUGAGAUUGCUGCGUAUCAAUGUGAUUGCUUGCUGCUUCAACGUAAGUGUGGUAGUAAGUCUUGAACAGGACAUGCGUGGUGUUUCUUGCCUUGUGUGUCACUGCCAGUUCACAGCUGGGGAAAACUUCAGGGGCAUGGUAGCUUGUCUCCGGAUGGGUGAACGUGUCUGCUGGAACUCAUUUGUGGACUGAUUGGUGACUAAAUGGUUCCAUCUGACCCGUCUUGAAACAC